Molecule: ribosomal RNA, 254 nt
Filed under: uncultured bacterium
Lineage: Bacteria
Description: partial 16S ribosomal RNA
Rfam family: Bacterial small subunit ribosomal RNA
Source: RNAcentral
GACAGAGGCCUCAAGCGUUAGGCGGAAUCACUGGGCUUAAAGCGUGUGUAGGCGGAUCGUUAGGUGUCUUGUGUAAAUCCCACGGCUCACCCGUGGAACGGCUGGGCAUACUGGCGAUCUUGGGCCAACUAGGGGCAACUGGAACAAGCGGUGGAGCGGUGAAAUGCGUAGAUAUCGCUUGGAACGCCGAAGGUGAAAACAGGUUGCUGGGGUUGUGCCGACGCUGAGACACGAAAGCCAGGGGAGCAAACGGG